Hemicordylus capensis (graceful crag lizard) is the source of this 1204-nucleotide long non-coding RNA. RefSeq lists it as uncharacterized. The record is from RefSeq and is a predicted model, not a curated record. NCBI's taxonomy places the organism in Eukaryota, Metazoa, Chordata, Lepidosauria, Squamata, Cordylidae. The transcript is spliced from 4 exons.
GAGAUGUACAGGCAGCAUCCUUUUCAGACUUUACAAGAUGCUGUGAAAUGCAAGUAAACUGACUUCUACAGAGCCAGCCAGGAUUUGCUGAUGAUAAGACUUAUUUUGCUUGGCAGAAUUUUCAAGACCAUCCAUCAUUGAAAUGCCCACUGCAAAUUCAGAAGAACUGAUGGAAUUCUGCCUGUGAAGCAAGAACCGUUACAAGCUCCAUUAAACGAAAUGAAAAGCAUCUUUUGUGAAUAACUCCCCCCACAAGAAAUCUUACAUUUCCAGGCAUCCCUUUACCUACCUUCAUGAAACAACUUAUACAUUCGUAAAACCUUCAUUGAAGGCAGCUCUGCAAUUUUAUAGAAAACAACAUGCCAGGGAUGCAAAGAUCUUGCCAGUUCUGUGAAAAAUGACACCAAUUAAAGCUUAAAUUGCUUGUUUUCUCAUAAGCCUGGCUCCUUGGUUACUGCAGAGGCUCUACUGGAUCUCUCAAUCAAGGAAGAGGGAGACUGACCAAGAAGAGUGAGGAGCUCAGUUCAUCUCAUCUGUGUUGUAUGUCUUUUAUGUUCCUGUCAAAAAUGGUACUCCACCCUUCCUUCCUUCCUUCCUACCUGUACAGAGGGGCACAACAAAACAGAGAUGGACUGUCAUUUUAAAAUUAUUAUAGUAGCAUUUCUACUCCAUGUCAGUUUGGAAAAAAGGAAACCAAAUGCAUUAAAUUAAGAAUGUAUUGAAUAGUAAGAUAUCAAAAGAUAGCUAAGCAUUUUGAGUCACUUGGGGAACAUAAACUGAUAAGUUAUAAUGAGAUCCCCAAAGUCCUGUGAUCAACCUAGAAUAAAUAGAAUGAAAUACCAAUGGGUUUGCUAAUUAUAAGUAUCUGUUUUAAAAACGACUCAGUGAUCUGCAUCCUGUCCAAUGUGAAAAAUAUGAAUUGUGUGCUCUAUUAUUAAUCCAUUAGUGAUAUAUUUCACUGUACUUUUGCAAUGAUGAUCAUUAAUGAAAAAAAGCAAACAAACCUGUGACAUUUGUAUUACACAAAAGUGGGUGUUUGGGGUUUUUUCUGUGUGUGGAGAUCUACUCAGACUGAAGCUAUCGUUUUAAUCAUAGUGUUAUUUAAACUACCAUUGUAAUUCAACAUCUUCAUUUUUAGACACAGCCUAGUAAUGCAAGCAAAUGUGUCUCUCUGCAAUGGACAAAGAUUAAUGCCAUGUGUACU